AACCGCCAGCAAAACAAGAAGACCGGCCAUAAAUUUGUACUGCCAUUUUACCCUGGUUGUCAAUUCAAUUUUCUUUAAAAUUAAGAGCCAUGAUUUACAAAUUACAAUCCUCAAUCCUGAUUUUCAUCGAAUCAUCUGAAGUUCUGUUGGGGAGAAGCUCAAUCUGAUUCUUUUUGGGAGGGAACAAAUGGGGCUUCUCAGCAUCAUUCGAAAAAUUAAAAGGAAGGAAAAAGAAAUUCGUAUACUCAUGGUUGGGCUUGACAAUUCCGGCAAGACUACCAUUGUGCUCAGGAUUAAUGGAGAGGACACCAGCGUUGUCAGUCCCACACUCGGCUUCAACAUCAAGACCAUCACUUACCAAAAAGGCUAUCUGGAUCAUCCUUAUUGAUACUAGCAAAUAAACAGGACAUAAAAGGUGUCCUUACUCCAGAAGAAAUUGCUAAGGUUUUGAACUUGGAGGCGAUGGAUAAAACUCGGCAUUGGGAAAUUGUUGGCUGCAGUGCAUACACGGGAGAUGGACUGCUUGAGGGAUUUGAUUGGUUGGUCCAAGAUAUUGCGUCUCAGAUCUAUGUGCUGGACUAAUGCCUAUCUUGAGUAUUUUAUUUUUGGUUGUGUUUUGAGUGAUUUUUCAUUGAGGUGUCUUGGUAUUUAUGGAAAGCUGAAUGGAACUUUCAGAGUUUGAAGCAAACUUUGCUGUUAAAAGUGAGAGGGAAAAUGAAUCGUUGUAGUUGUA
This is a long non-coding RNA of Prunus mume (Japanese apricot), 733 nucleotides long. RefSeq lists it as uncharacterized. Lineage: Eukaryota; Viridiplantae; Streptophyta; Magnoliopsida; Rosales; Rosaceae. The record is from RefSeq and is a predicted model, not a curated record.